This is a long non-coding RNA of Oreochromis niloticus (Nile tilapia), 4830 nucleotides long. RefSeq lists it as uncharacterized. Lineage: Eukaryota; Metazoa; Chordata; Actinopteri; Cichliformes; Cichlidae. The record is from RefSeq and is a predicted model, not a curated record. The transcript has 3 exons.
UCUCCCCGCCUCUCUCUGUAUCCCCUUUCUGUAACUUCCUCUUUUCGCCCAUUUGCACAACUACGUGUCGACACACUGUGCAACAUAUAUUGUACAGUAUAUAUGCGCAAUGACAUGUACAAAUGCUUGAAAAGGUGCGAAAAAAGGAACUGAUUGAGACAUUAUAGUUUGCAGACUAAGAGAUAAGUUAGAUAACUUUACAAAUGAGGAAGUGGAGUGUUGAAGAGGCUGUUUUUGAGACUGACUUAAAAAAGAAAGGGGGGUUUCAGCGCGACAAUAUGACCUCACCUCCUUAAAAACACGUAUAUCAUAACAGAGCACCAUCGAUUCCUCUUCUGCGAGGUUGUUGCAGGCCCUACCUCUUCCACCCGAAAGCCCGUGUCUAUCAAACUAUCAGUGGAAUGUUGAACCAGGCCCCUGGGGCCCACACACGCAGCAACACUCAGCAGCACUCAGCACCUGUUUCCGACUGCCAGCACAGAGAAAGAGACGCGGUCAAUCACACAGGACAGCUCAGUGCAGGGGAAAGAGCAGAGGAGGGUAGGAGACAAACAACAAGCAUUUUAUCAGCAAAAAUACACAACUGAGUAGCUACAGUGUUAUCUUUCACAGCAGAGUGUGACUGCAUGUAACUUAGCAAUAUUAUAUGAAUUAUAUAUGUUAUAAAUAGGAUUUAGGCCAGUGCAGUUUCCAUUCUUUGUCUCAUUUUGGUACUUUUCAAAAUAAACAGUUUUUGCUUCAGUGUUAAAGUGCUAACGUUGCUUGUGCACUGCUUGAAGCUACUCCUUCAAUACAGUAAAAAAGAGCCACAAAGUAUUUAAAAGUGAUAUAUGGUGUUCUUAAAUAUGGUGUUCCUUCAUAUUUUCAGCUUUUUAAAUCUGAAUAUGGUUCACAUGAAGAGACUUCCAGGCCUGAAUUAUUCAGCUGUAGUGUACUGAAACAUGUAAUUGUACAACCAGUUAACAGCUAGUAGACUUUAAAAUAACCUGCUAGUAUUAAUUGCCAAACAAGUGUGUCUAUCCACCCUUUGGGUCAGAAUCAUACUUAUGACAAAAUUUAAAAUACAUCCUAUGAGUCUCAAAGUAAUUCUAUCAAAAAUAAUCCGAAGAACGUACACAGUAAUAACUAGUACACGCCCGUGCUCCAGUAACACUUAAUGACACCGAGAGAAAAAAACAAAACAUGGGUGGCUGACGUUGUUUAUACACUAAAAAUAGGUCCUUAAAAUCCAUUGCUAGGUGGGUGCUUUGCAACAUGAUUUAGUCAUAAUAUAUUGAACUUCACCUUUUAUGGAUCUAAACAAGACCUUAAUAUUGUGCUUUUAUAAGGCAUAAAGGUGUAUAAAAUCAAAAAGGGGUCAUUUUAGGCUGUUACUACGGGGUUGGCAACCAACAUGACUAUGGUGAUAUAGAGAUGUUAAAAUAAAAAGCCUCACAAACUGUGAAUGUUUCUGUUGUAUUCAGAUUUCUCACUUCUCUAUCUGACUUCAGUUACCCAGACAGUGUCAGGGAAAGCUCUGAGGAAGGAUCAGAAGCACUGAUCACCACUGGGCCUCCCCUCCUAUGGGCUGAAGGGCUGCUGUGAGUCGGUGGAUUGGAAGUCAAUGAAACCAGGCCUAAUUUAGCCUUCGCUCCUCCACGAGCUGCCAGGAGUCUGAAGACUCCCUGCAGUGAAACAGCACCCUAACCUGGAGAUUCAUCUCCCUGAGUUUUUCCAAGAUUUACACUUAUUAAUUUUUAAUGGUCUGGACUUUGUAAGAAAAAAAUGUGCAAAUGUGUUCUUGAAUAUGAUUGAAUUUGUGUAUAUGUGGAUGUUUUAAUCCAUAGUUACAGUCAUUGUUCUUUUAAAGUGAGCCAACUAUUUUUCUCCACUUGGCGUCAGUGGGAUGAAUGUACACGUAUGCUUUUAUCUCUGAGUGAGUGCAGCGUCCCCAUGCAGCACAGCACACAACAGCAGAGAAACAUGUUUUAAAUAUAUGAAUAUGUAUUAAUCCCACUAAAGUGUCUUAUAAUAGCAAAAGUCUUAUAAUGCCUGUGAAAAUGCUCUAUGAGACAUGAUACACAAUAAUGAGUGUUUUAAUGCAAUCUGCCCUGUGUAGAUGUGAAGUGUUGAGUAGCAGUUUUGUCCACAUGUAAGACAUAAAUUCCUGUCUCUGUCACACAGAAAGUUGGACUAGAUAUUUGUUUUGAAUUUGAAUAUUUUAAGCUCUGGAGACCAAAAUAUUUCCAAAGCAAACACAGUUAUUCUCAUGCUAUCAUUGAAAGUCACAUGUCAGUCUCAUUCUGCCAUUAAGAUUAUUUGCAGUAUGAAUUUAUCAUGGCAUUACUGAAGCCACAAUGAAGAAACUCUGACAGGUAGAAAACAACUGAUUUUGAAACGUUUACCCAAGUCCACUAAAAUCUAACAAUAAAUGUUCAACUGUGGCUGCUGUUGGUUAGCAUAUAAUGUUGAAAACACAUUAACAAGCUCAAAAAUUGACAGAAUGGUAGAGGAGUACACAAAGACUUAACCACAUGCACUUUACUGUGGUAUAAAAACUACUGCAGAUCAAUGCAUUUACUGCAUUUGGAACCCUCUCUGCUGAUGCGACUCUUACUAUUAGAGGGCUCUGGGCUUACCCUGCUGCUGAUGGAGGAUAUCAUGUGCUUGCACAUGGAGCUUCACAACAUUAGCCCCAGUUUUGUGUCACAAAAAUUAGAGUGCACGCCACCUGCUGGACAUUUGGGAAUCUAUAGUAAAUAUUCUUUGUUUUUAAUGAUUUUUUCCUUCUUCUGUAUACAACCAAGAGUUAAAACACAACCCAUGUUGUGACACAACUGUCUUGCACACAGUCUUCACUUACACAAUCGUCUGAAGGGUGUCAGUGUGUCAGCAGCACAUAGAGCUUAUCUGUUGGGUUGUUAUCAGCAAACAAACAGCUCACACACCACACUGUGCAAUGGGAGGAACUUAGAAUAUGUAGUGCGGUGUGAAAACACAAACAAACAGACAGCUUAAUAUUGAGACAGAGGUCUGUGUGCAGUUUAAUAUCUGCCAUUGUUGUUGAGUCUUACCUCCAAUAUCACACAUCACGAGGACACCAUGAAGUAACGUCCUCGUGAUGUGUAAUUUUCAGUUAGAUGCACAGCAGCUGGCAUAUUUCGUAACACCUGCUUACACUUGAAGUGCGCUGGGUUCAGCUUACAAAAGACUUAUGAGAAAAUCUAAAGCAGCAUUAUUUGCUGUGGUCAGAUAUACGAGAUACUAGUUUCAACCAAAGAGGUCAGUGUUAUGUAGGUUAUUUUGUAAGCAUGAUGCUACUGGACUACUGGACACUAGAGAGCAGCAAAGCAGCAUAAAACCCAGGCUAGCCCUCUCAAAUGUAUUUUUUCCUUUUAAUUUUGCACAUUUGGUGCAUUUGUACAAUAAAUAUUCCAUAAAUCUUUCCAUUUGUAAGCGCAUGAAUACAAGCAGAAGUCAUCUGCUAAUGCACUUCAUAUAUUUUCACUCUUUUAUGAAUGUAGGCAAUUUUUAGAUCUCUGUGAAUUCACUUGCACUACCUCUGCAAGCCAUAAUGAUUUAGAAAGCAUCAGCAAAGGGGCAUAGAUGGCCGUUUUGACUUUAUAAUAAAUUAUUACUAUUAUUGCCACAUAAUCCAGUCCAGUCUUUUGGGGCAGAAAAAAAAUGAUUAAAGUUAAGACACAAAAAAAGUGUAAACCAUAACUUGAAUCAUUUAUUCCUCAGUUUAUAUGAAUUUGCACCAUGUUGAGAGGUAGACUAAGUUCAUGGGGAACAGGUUCACUGUAUCUUCUUGACAGACAGUUAGACCACAGGCAAGCCUCUCCCAAGCACCAAUUGUUCCUUUACAUUGACAGAGCAGAUGAAUAUUUAACAGGAGGAGGGAAAGUGGUAGGCAUCAGAUCACUAAGAAGAAAAUAGCACUCACCCCAGGUGACCCCACCACCAACAGUCCGAUGACAGACUAGAUUGCUGCUGCUGAUUGGCUGCUUAUAUUGUUGUUGACCCAAAGGAGAGCUGUGUAAUGAGCCUUAAAUGAAAGCAUAUAUGUGGGAAUAGAACAUGUGUCUAUAGGUGGGCUGAGUACCUUCAUGAGAGAAGCAGACAGGGUGGAAAAGACUGCGGUCAGCACCAUGGACAGCAAAAGGAGAAUCAUCCAGGUGAUCAGCGCCAUGCAAGCGGAUAUCAGAAAGCUGGAGCUGGAAAACAUGGGCCUGAAGAGGAAAGCUGGAAGUAAUCUCAGAAAGAAUGCAUCAGUUCCCAUCAUGGCAGCAGAAUGCAGAGAAAGCGUCGUCAUGACAGUGAGACGAUAUUCAGUCUUCCAGCUGCGGGUCAAUCAUCGAUAUUUGACCAUGGGCAUUUCAAAGAGUGAGGGAGGGACCGGAAAGAAGCAACGCUGACCCUGAGCAUAGUCAAACCAGAGGUGGAGCCAGACAUUUUAUACACCCAGGGCUUAGCCCUAAAGGGUAGUAUGCAUGUGGGAUUGGAGGGGGGGUGGAGUUGCUGUGGAUUUGCUAAACCCCAAUUCAACCAGACCCACAACUGACCCGGAAUUAAAACAGGACUACAACAGUUCAAAAUCAGGACUACUUUAGGACUUAACCAAGAUAGAACCAGAAUCAAAACUAGAUGAUAGUAGCACUGAAAAUCAUCAUAGACCUGCACUACACUGACAACUUCGACAUCUUCGAGACUUGAGUUUUGCGAACCUAUCAAUGACAUUUUCAGGGUCAAUAUUAUUCAAGUAUUCCAAAAAGAUACACUAGGUACUAGAUACAUGUUCUAAUGAGUUUUGGCAAACAACCAUUUGACUAACAUGUCUGUCUCACCUGG